AGCUACAACAAUGAGCAACAAAAAUUGAAAAGAGAGAGAAAACAACAAUAGAUGAGAAGAGAGAGAAAGAUGUUUUUUUCCCUCUGUUUUCCAUUAUAUUAGGUAAACAUUUAGAUCAAAGUGUAAAUUUAAAAACUUCUGGGCUAUUCUCAAACUUACCUAACUUUCUUAAUCCAUAAUAAAGUAAUUGUCACCUCUACUCAAUUAUUAAGACUUGU
This 218-nucleotide long non-coding RNA is filed under the name Capsicum annuum. Its description in RNAcentral is "long non-coding RNA (CANN_LNC004490)". Lineage: Eukaryota; Viridiplantae; Streptophyta; Magnoliopsida; Solanales; Solanaceae. The record is from RNAcentral.